Molecule: long non-coding RNA, 879 nt
Organism: Camellia sinensis
Lineage: Eukaryota; Viridiplantae; Streptophyta; Magnoliopsida; Ericales; Theaceae
Source: RefSeq, a predicted model, not a curated record
CUUCCCAGCACACUCUCUCUCUACCUCUCAUCUUCUUCUUUUCUCUCUCUCUCUCUCAACCCCACAAAUCCACAAACUCCAUCCAAUGCCACCAUCACCAACUUCUUCUUCCUUUUUCCUUCAACUUUCACUCACCACCACCCUACCACUGGAGCAUCACUAUCUUUUCCGACCGGCGACCUUCCAACGGCCAUUUUUUCCGGCGGAUUUACAUCUUCUCUUCUCCCUAUUUUUUUUUCAAGAUAUGUCUACAUCAUCCCGCCAAACCAAUGCUCACCUAUCGCCUCCACUACUCCUCCCUGAUGCUCUAGCUAAUCCUAAUGAUGUUCCGGUAGAGCCCGUCGCCUCCCCAGCCCCAGCGCCACCGCCAUUCCGUAUGACGCGGGUGCAAUAUUAAGCUCUUUUGGAUAAUCAAGCCGCUAUUCUGCAAUUUGUGGUUGAUCUCCGGGCAGACUUGCAAGCAUAUCGAGAUCACUCGCAGAUGGUCUUUGAUGGGUAUCAGCAGUCAAUUGCAUCUCUACAAACUGAUUUCUACAUAUACCGCGAGUCGAGGCAGCAGUUGUUUGAUCAGCUUGGCGCUAGGAUUCAUAAUGAGGCGUUCGAGACUCGGACACUAAUGCAUGCCCUAUUUGGGCAGCAUUUUUCGCCACCGCCAGAUCCACAUCAGUAAUAUCCAUUGUAUUUUCUUUGUUUUAGUUCUUUAUUUAUUUUUGUUUUGUUUUGUUUUCUUUUUCUUUUUCUUUUCCUUUUAUCCUGUACUGUUCCAAAAAAAAAAAAGUGUGUAUGUGUUUGGUGUGUCCUUGCCUCGCUGGAUGUGCGCCUACGCCGUCUAGUAAGAUCCUCUCUCUCUCAUUUUACUAUCUACUUUCCAAUUGCUUA